RNAcentral lists this long non-coding RNA (475 nucleotides) under Mus spicilegus (steppe mouse). RNAcentral describes it as "lncRNA (ENSMSIG00000012007.1)". Lineage: Eukaryota; Metazoa; Chordata; Mammalia; Rodentia; Muridae. The record is from RNAcentral.
CUGGUUUUACUUGGUGGCUAUAUGAUGUUGUCUCUCUCUCUCUCCUUAUGACUCAGCUACAAACCCUGCAACCUAUAAGCUUUUACAGUGAAGUAGCUAAGCAGUUUAUGAUUGGAUUUAAGGCCUACUCCAUGAGAUGGGACCCAUACUUGACACUGGACACCAGCGAUAGUCAUACCAGGACCAGACUCAUAGAUGAAAUGAAGUGUCAUCAUCCAUCACUAUGAACUUCCUUCAUGAGAGAGAAAAGGGGAAAAAUUGAUCUGUGGUCAUGGCAAAGUGACCAGCCUUGCUGAGUGCACUCCCUGUUCUGAUUCCUGCCACGCCACAGCAAUGGUGUCCAUGGGCAGAAGCUCCGGAAACUGAUCCAGCUGAAAUCUUCUCACUUGUGUUUAUCUAAGGGAUUUUGUUUGAUUGACGAAAAAUUAAUCCAGCUGUAAAUUCCAUAGUCAAAUAAACCUGGCACAUAUAGACA